AGCUUUGUGCAGUGGCAGUAUCAUAGCCAAUGAGGUUUAUCCAAGGCGCGAUUAUUGCUAAUUGAAAAACACAUUUG
Molecule: small nuclear RNA, 77 nt
Filed under: Tupaia belangeri chinensis (Chinese tree shrew)
Lineage: Eukaryota; Metazoa; Chordata; Mammalia; Scandentia; Tupaiidae
Description: Tupaia chinensis (Chinese tree shrew) U4 spliceosomal RNA
Rfam family: U4 spliceosomal RNA
About the family: U4 small nuclear RNA (U4 snRNA) is a component of the major U2-dependent spliceosome.
Source: Rfam by way of RNAcentral